UGCCAAAAUAGGCUGUGAGGCUUCUUUCUUUCCUAUGCUUUAUUUUCUCCAAGACUUAACUGUGUAUGAGGGAGAGGGGUAUGGUGGCAGGAGGAAAGAGUGGUUUAUUUUUUGGUCCUUGAUGAUGUUUUGAUACAUGUAAUGUGUGGUGAUCAGAUCAGAGUAAUUAGCAAACCCAUCAUCUCAAACAUUUAUCAUUUCUUCGUGUUGGGAACUUUCUGAGAGGGUGUAGGCUGUGGGAGAUAAGUCCGUCACCUUUUCCUCCUGAUGUAACCAGAGUGGCUGCAGCCAGGUCCUCAGAAACUCAGAGAGUACCCAAUGGGAAAUCCCUAAGACCAAAGUCAGCAUGGGCUUCAGCCAUGGCCUGACACCAUACAAAAGAAUGACUGUCCAACAAGUAUAUGAAAAUAAGCUCCAAUUCACUGGUAGUCAAGAUAUUUAGCCAUGGAAUGGAAUGUUCUGCAUGCAGCUUUUAAAAAAUCUGUUAGAGCUAUACCAAGUGACUCAGAAGGAUUUUUGUGAAGUAUAAUUAAGUGAGAA
This 540-nucleotide long non-coding RNA is filed under the name Pan troglodytes (chimpanzee). Its description in RNAcentral is "long non-coding RNA NONPTRT010400". Lineage: Eukaryota; Metazoa; Chordata; Mammalia; Primates; Hominidae. The record is from RNAcentral.